This 449-nucleotide ribosomal RNA is filed under the name uncultured bacterium. RNAcentral's name for it is "bacterial SSU rRNA". It matches the Rfam family "Bacterial small subunit ribosomal RNA", at positions 355 to 796 of the family's 1533-position model. The record is from RNAcentral.
UAGGGAAUUGUUCGCAAUGGGCGCAAGCCUGACGACGCAACGCCGCGUGGAGGAUGAAGGUCUUCGGAUUGUAAACUCCUGUCGUGUGGGACGAACAUUCCUCGGGCUAAUCACCGAGGGACUGACGGUACCACGAAAGGAAGCCCCGGCUAACUCUGUGCCAGCAGCCGCGGUAAUACAGAGGGGGCGAGCGUUGUUCGGAAUUACUGGGCGUAAAGGGCGCGUAGGCGGCCUGCUAAGUCGGACGUGAAAUCCCUCGGCUCAACCGGGGAACUGCGUCCGAUACUGGCGGGCUUGAAUUCGGGAGAGGGAUGCGGAAUUCCAGGUGUAGCGGUGAAAUGCGUAGAUAUCUGGAGGAACACCGGUGGCGAAGGCGGCAUCCUGGACCGAGAUUGACGCUGAUGCGCGAAAGCCAGGGGAGCAAACGGGAUUAGAUACCCGUGUAGUCC